GAACGGGUGAGUAACACGUGGGUGAUCUGCCUUGCACUUCGGGAUAAGCCUGGGAAACUGGGUCUAAUACCGGAUAUGACCCCGGAAUGCAUGUUCUGGGGUGGAAAGAUUUAUCGGUGCGAGAUGGGCCCGCGGCCUAUCAGCUUGUUGGUGAGGUAACGGCUCACCAAGGCGACGACGGGUAGCCGACCUGAGAGGGUGACCGGCCACACUGGGACUGAGACACGGCCCAGACUCCUACGGGAGGCAGCAGUGGGGAAUAUUGCACAAUGGGCGCAAGCCUGAUGCAGCGACGCCGCGUGCGGGAUGACGGCCUUCGGGUUGUAAACCGCUUUUGACAGGGACGAAGCGCAAGUGACUGUACCUGUAGAAUAAGGACCGGCCAACUACGUGCCAGCAGCCGCGGUAAUACGUAGGGUCCGAGCGUUGUCCGGAAUUACUGGGCGUAAAGAGCUUGUAGGCGGUUCGUCGCGUCGUUUGUGAAAACUUGGGGCUCAACCUUAAGCUUGCAGGCGAUACGGGCGGACUAGAGUACUUCAGGGGAGACUGGAAUUCCUGGUGUAGCGGUGAAAUGCGCAGAUAUCAGGAGGAACACCGGUGGCGAAGGCGGGUCUCUGGGAAGUAACUGACGCUGAGAAGCGAAAGCAUGGGUAGCAAACAGGAUUAGAUACCCUGGUAGUCCAUGCCGUAAACGGUGGGUACUAGGUGUGGGGCUCCUUCCACGGACUCCGUGCCGUAGCUAACGCAUUAAGUACCCCGCCUGGGGAGUACGGCCGCAAGGCUAAAACUCAAAGAAAUUGACGGGGGCCCGCACAAGCGGCGGAGCAUGUGGAUUAAUUCGAUGCAACGCGAAGAACCUUACCUGGGUUUGACAUACACCGGAAACCUGCAGAGAUGUAGGCCCCCUUGUGGUCGGUGUACAGGUGGUGCAUGGCUGUCGUCAGCUCGUGUCGUGAGAUGUUGGGUUAAGUCCCGCAACGAGCGCAACCCUUAUCUUAUGUUGCCAGCGCGUAAUGGCGGGGACUCGUGAGAGACUGCCGGGGUCAACUCGGAGGAAGGUGGGGACGACGUCAAGUCAUCAUGCCCCUUAUGUCCAGGGCUUCACACAUGCUACAAUGGCCGGUACAGAGGGCUGCGAUACCGCGAGGUGGAGCGAAUCCCUUAAAGCCGGUCUCAGUUCGGAUCGGGGUCUGCAACUCGACCCCGUGAAGUUGGAGUCGCUAGUAAUCGCAGAUCAGCAACGCUGCGGUGAAUACGUUCCCGGGCCUUGUACACACCGCCCGUCACGUCAUGAAAGUCGGUAACACCCG
RNAcentral lists this ribosomal RNA (1310 nucleotides) under Nocardia sp. Its description in RNAcentral is "bacterial SSU rRNA". It matches the Rfam family "Bacterial small subunit ribosomal RNA", at positions 100 to 1423 of the family's 1533-position model. Lineage: Bacteria; Bacillati; Actinomycetota; Actinomycetes; Mycobacteriales; Nocardiaceae. The record is from RNAcentral.